CUCCGUGCCAGCAGCCGCGGUAAUACGGGGGAUGCAAGCGUUAUCCGGAAUCAUUGGGCGUAAAGCGCCUGUAGGUUGUUUAAUAAGUCUGUUGUUAAAGACUAGGGCUCAACCCUAGAAAAGCAAUGGAAACUACUAGACUUGAGUAUGGCAGGGGUAGAGGGAACUUCUAGUGUAGCGGUGAAAUGCGUAGAUAUUAGAAAGAACACCAGUGGCGAAAGCGCUCUACUGGACCAUUACUGACACUCAGAGGCGAAAGCUAGGGUAGCAAAAGGGAUUAGAUACCCCUGUAGUCCUAGCCGUAAACGAUGGAUACUAGAUGUUGUAUAUUUCUUACAGUAUCGUAGCUAACGCGUUAAGUAUCCCGCCUGGGGAGUACGCUCGCAAGGGUGAAACUCAAAGGAAUUGACGGGGGCCCGCACAAGCGGUGGAGCAUGUGGUUUAAUUCGAUGCAACGCGAAGAACCUUACCAGGGCUUGACAUACUACAAAUCUUUUUGAAAGAAGAGAGUGCCUUCGGGAAUGUAGAUACAGGUGGUGCAUGGCUGUCGUCAGCUCGUGUCGUGAGAUGUUGGGUUAAGUCCCGCAACGAGCGCAACCCUUAUUUUUAGUUACCAACUAUGUUGGGUUCUCUAGAAAGACUGCCGGUGACAAACCGGAGGAAGGUGAGGAUGACGUCAAGUCAGCAUGCCCCUUAUGUCCUGGGCCACACACGUGCUACAAUGGUUAGGACAAAGAGUCGCGAGUUCGUGAGAACAAGCUAAUCUCGUAAAUCUAACCUAAGUUCAGAUUGUAGG
Molecule: ribosomal RNA, 796 nt
Filed under: Prymnesium sp. RCC1948
Lineage: Eukaryota; Haptophyta; Prymnesiales; Prymnesiaceae
Description: bacterial SSU rRNA
Rfam family: Bacterial small subunit ribosomal RNA
Source: RNAcentral